This 245-nucleotide ribosomal RNA is filed under the name uncultured bacterium. RNAcentral describes it as "partial 16S ribosomal RNA". It matches the Rfam family "Bacterial small subunit ribosomal RNA", at positions 89 to 334 of the family's 1533-position model. The record is from RNAcentral.
CGGCGACCGGCAAACGGGUGCGGAACACGUACACAACCUUCCUUCAAAUGGGGAAUAGCCCAGGGAAACUUGGAUUAAUACCCCGUAAUAUUAUGAGGUGGCAUCACUUUAUAAUUAUAGCUCCGGCGUUUGGAGAUGGGUGUGCGGCUGAUUAGGUAGUUGGUAAGGUAACGGCUUACCAAGCCUUCGAUCAGUAACUGGUGUGAGAGCACGACCAGUCACACGGGCACUGAGACACGGGCCCG